AAGACUCUACUUUCAGGGGUCAUUUCUAUAGUUUGUUAUUAGAGAAGAUUCUCUGAAGGUGUAGAGCAUCAAAAAUAAAAUAAAAUUUUAAAAAGGAAAUAGAAAAUCUGA
This is a small nucleolar RNA of Pongo abelii (Sumatran orangutan), 111 nucleotides long. Its record names the gene U3. It matches the Rfam family "Small nucleolar RNA U3". From Rfam's summary of the family: Small nucleolar RNAs (snoRNAs) are involved in the processing and modification of rRNA in the nucleolus. There are two main classes of snoRNAs: the box C/D class, and the box H/ACA class. NCBI's taxonomy places the organism in Eukaryota, Metazoa, Chordata, Mammalia, Primates, Hominidae. The record is from Ensembl.